RNAcentral lists this ribosomal RNA (467 nucleotides) under uncultured bacterium. RNAcentral's name for it is "partial 16S ribosomal RNA". It matches the Rfam family "Bacterial small subunit ribosomal RNA", at positions 28 to 507 of the family's 1533-position model. The record is from RNAcentral.
GACGAACGCUGGCGGCGUGCUUAACACAUGCAAGUCGAACGGAAAGGCUCCAGCUUGCUGGCGCACUCGAGUGGCGAACGGGUGAGUAACACGUGGGUAAUCUGCCCCGCACUCUGGGAUAAGCCUGGGAAACUGGGUCUCUUACUGGAUAUGACUUUUCUCCUUAUGGGGUUUGGUGGAAAGUUUUUCGGUUUAGGAUGAGUCCGCGGCCUAUCAGCUUGUUGGUGGGGUGAUGGCCUACCAAGGCGACGACGGGUAGCCGGCCUGAGAGGGUGAUCGGCCACAUUGGGACUGAGAUACGGCCCAGACUCCUACGGGAGGCAGCAGUGGGGAAUAUUGCACAAUGGGCGGAAGCCUGAUGCAGCGACGCCGCGUGAGGGAUGACGGCCUUCGGGUUGUAAACCUCUGUCAGCAGGGACGAAGCGUAAGUGACGGUACCUGCAGAAGAAGCACCGGCUAACUAUGUG